CUUGGUGCAAUGACCUAUUAAUAUCAUGCAAGACAAAAAUGUUUACUGCCGUUAAUAUUAUUCAACAUUGUAUUAGAGGUCUAGCCAGUUUCCAAAACAAGAAACAAUAUAAGAGAAAGAAAUAAAAGUUAUUUAAAAAUUGAAAAGGAAAUAAAAUUGUCAUUACCUACAGAAGAGAUUAAGAAAACUGAAGAAAAAACAACUGAAAACUAUUGAAACUUAUUUGAGAGUUCAGCAAAGUAUCCAGAUGCAAAAUCACUACACAAAAAUCAACAACUUUUCUAUAAACUAGCAUUUACCAACUAAAUAUAUUUUAGAAAAAAAAUCUUAUUCAUUAUAGAAACAAAAGCUACAAGCUACCUACAAGUAAGUCUAUCAUAAAUAUGCAAAACCUUUUUUGAGAAAAAACACACCAUUUUAUAGAAAGACAUUUUUUAAAAGAUGUUAAUAAAGGAAGAUUGAUCAUGUUCUUGGAUGGAGAGAUUCUAUACUGUACUUCAUUUCUCUCCAAAACAAUCUAUAUAUUCAAUGCAAUCUCAAUCAAAAUCUCAAUGUGACCAUAUCAAUCAGGAUCCCAGCUGGAAACCAACAGCAUAUUCCAAUUAGGAGGAAUCAAGGAGGUUUUGAUACAGAGACUAUCUACACAUGAAAUAGACAGGGUCUAGGAAAUCACAAGGAAAAGUGCCGUAUCCCAGAGCAAGCGUCACUGGGGAUAUUAUCACCCCAAGGCAUACAGGGGCAGAGGGAGAGCAGUUACCAGAAUCCAGAAGGAAGGAGCUGGGACAAGAGGGCCACCUUGAGAAGACAUGUGAUCUUCAAUAGAGGAACACAGCCAACCCCAAGCAGCCCUGCAGGCAGAGAGCCAGGAGAAUAAAUAUCCCGCUCUCAUCCUUUUCACUCCCUCAUCUUCUAUUGGAGAUCCUCCAUUGGCUCAGCUGGGUGCUGGAGAAUUGUCUGUAUAUUCCAUAGUGCUUCCCAGGGCAGUGGGCAGGGUGAAAUGUAGAGAAUGGAUCCAGAGAAGUAAAUCGAACCUACAGGCAUUACUUGCUGUGGUUGUUUAUCUAUUCUCUACCCUGUGGUGUAAAGGUGUUGUUGAAGAUGUCAUAAAGGCCUGCAGAUGCUCCCUGUAAUAUAAAAACAAAACUUUCCCUGAAGUCCCCAGCAGACUUCAACUUGUUUCUCCUUGAUCAAAAGAGUGUGAAAUGGCUGCCCUUCGCUGC
RNAcentral lists this long non-coding RNA (1220 nucleotides) under Homo sapiens (human). Its description in RNAcentral is "HSALNT0029471". The record is from RNAcentral. Lineage: Eukaryota; Metazoa; Chordata; Mammalia; Primates; Hominidae.